This 484-nucleotide ribosomal RNA is filed under the name uncultured bacterium. RNAcentral describes it as "partial 16S ribosomal RNA". It matches the Rfam family "Bacterial small subunit ribosomal RNA", at positions 30 to 507 of the family's 1533-position model. The record is from RNAcentral.
AUUGAACGCUGGCGGCAGACCUAACACAUGCAAGUCGAGCGGAUGAAGGGAGCUUGCUCCUGGAUUCAGCGGCGGACGGGUGAGUAAUGCCUAGGAAUCUGUCUGGUAGUGGGGGAUAACGUCCGGAAACGGGCGCUAAUACCGCAUACGUCCUGAGGGAGAAAGUGGGGGAUCUUCGGACCUCACGCUAUCAGAUGAGCCUAGGUCGGAUUAGCUAGUUGGUGGGGUAAAGGCCUACCAAGGCGACGAUCCGUAACUGGUCUGAGAGGAUGAUCAGUCACACUGGAACUGAGACACGGUCCAGACUCCUACGGGAGGCAGCAGUGGGGAAUAUUGGACAAUGGGCGAAAGCCUGAUCCAGCCAUGCCGCGUGUGUGAAGAAGGUCUUCGGAUUGUAAAGCACUUUAAGUUGGGAGGAAGGGCAGUAAGUUAAUACCUUGCUGUUUUGACGUUACCAACAGAAUAAGCACCGGCUAACUUCGUG